Molecule: long non-coding RNA, 415 nt
Filed under: Musa acuminata (dwarf banana)
Lineage: Eukaryota; Viridiplantae; Streptophyta; Magnoliopsida; Zingiberales; Musaceae
Description: long non-coding RNA (MACU_LNC009802)
Source: RNAcentral
CCAAACCCUAAUCUUACCCCACUUCCAACAAUACCUCAUCGCUCCCUACCCCUCCUUGCUUUCGAUCCGGAUUCCUUCCUGGAUUAGGGUUCUUCCACCAGCCUGAGACCUCGAUUCUUCGUCCACGGAUAGUUAAAUUGGGAGAGAUUUGGGGUUUGGGGCGUUGGGGAGGUGCGGAGCGAUGGAAGGGGGAGCGGGCGGUGGGAACGACGUGGAGUUGGUCUCCAAGACGCUGCAGUUCGAGCAUAAGCUGUUCUACUUCGAUCUGAAGGAGAAUCCACGGGGGAGGUACCUCAAGAUCUCCGAGAAGACGUCGGCCACCAGGUCCACCAUCAUCGUCCCCGUCGACGGCAUCGUCUGGUUCCUCGAGUUGUUCGGCUACUACAUCAGCACGGACGAGCAGGACGUGUUCAGC